UAUGUGUUCUUUCAAGACUUGUUAUUUCACAGAUUUCUAGAACUUUCAUUUUGGUGGAAUUUUAAUUUUUCGAUACAUGGAAUGAAGCUACUCAAUGCCGAUUUCCAAGACUUGGGAUUUUGCCGAUUUGGGAUUUUCAAAACCGAAGUAUGGUGCGACAUCGUGCUGUAAAUUUUAUAAAGAUGACUUAUUUCAUGGAGAAAAUUUCUAGAGCUUUCAUUUUGAUUGGAAACUUUACCACAAUACAUUGUUAUGGAGUUAAACUCCGUUCUGAAGAGUCUUUGAAAUUUCAAUUCCCAUUUUAGUUUGGGAAUUCUUACAAAAAGAUGGGAAUUGGAUUAAAUAAAAAUGGCGAUUGGUCUAUGGUUCGGAUGAAUUUAAGAAAUCCAGGAUCCUUUCUGAAUCCUAAUUUUCUCGUGAAAAUUCAUCGGAAGAAAGUUGAAAAUGGAUGAAAACCUUUUUCCUGACAAACUUUCAAAGGCCGUCAUCAUAAGUUGAAUUCGACAUCCUGUCAGCCUGCAAAUGAAUUGAAGAAAUGGAGCCCAGUCUUGCUGAAGAUGAAAUGUGAGCUCUUUAAACGACUUCUAAUCCCAAGCUUUAAGAAUAUUAAUUUCAAAAUACUUUCCUUUCGCUUAGAUUUGAUAUAAUUAGAUUUUGUAAAACCAAAAAUUUUUUAUUGGUUAACCAUCUGACCAGAUUGUCAAUCACCAUGAUCAUGAGUCAACAAGUAGUCAAAUAUUGCUCUGGUAGGAUAAAAUUCAAAUGUUUACCAACCAUUUAAAAUUGUGUAGUCAAUUGGUAUUGACAAAAUUUGAGCUUACGCGUUGUGCCGAGUUUUGGCCCUUAUAUGUAAACACACUAUUUAAACAGUUAAGCUUCAACGAUCUUAUUAAAGAAUGAAAAUUGAACAGUUAAUUCAUAGCUUAAAUCCUCAAAACCUUCUACCAGAAGGAACCAAGGAAGUUUUUCGAAUGCAGGUCUUUUCGUGGGACCUUUCAUACAUUUCAGAUGAUGGAAAAGAACAUGAAAACUGAAUACACCUUCAAAAAUUGAAUCAAACUGCAAAAAUCUAUUUCCGUAGUAAAACUGCAUUUAUAAGUAUAAAGUUUCUCUCAUCUUUAUACCUUCAGGGGAAUGUAGUCAGAAAUGUAUUGGAAACUAAGAAGGUAAACUAUGGAAAAAUUAGAUCAUAAUCAACUGAAUCAUCAACACAGAACUCUUCAACUUUAAUGGCUGCCAUUAGCCGCUUAUUUUCUCAAUAGUUCGAGUUCUGUUGUCCUGCCUGUACCCUCCAUGUACCUGUUUCAGCCCAAUGACAAAGGAGAUGAUGUAAAAAGAGGAAUUGUUGCCCUGGGUUUUGAGAUUGAUAAUGGCAAGAAUGUGUUGGUAGGAGCUCCGAGAAAUGAGUUUAAAUUGGAAUUCAAUUGUAUAUGUGUAAAGUCAUCAAUUAGUUAAUCCAUAAAGUAAAAUAAGCUUUUGUUGCCAAGAAGUGUCAUUACUUAUGUCAAGGCUCGUGAUAAGUUGGUUAACUUUUGCUACAUUGCGGUUAAAAAUGAAUUUUUAUUCUUUUAAGGAAAAUGCCAAUUUAAAUCCGUCGCUACAUAUCGAUAGUUCAUUAUUAACAUAAUGCUGCUAGUAACUUCAUCUUGGAAUGUGUGGGAAAUCAAGGCCAUCCUUCAUAAUAUUUGACAAUGAUUUCAAAUAUUGAUUUCGGGAUAUGGCAUCCUGGUUCUACAGGAAAAGGUUUUGGAUUUGCAGGACAAAAGAUAAGAAAUUUCUAUCGAUAAUGUUCAGGGUUUCUUGGUUCUUAAAUGUUAGUGGCAUUGAUUCUCAUCUAAACGAAUGGGCAGUGCAAAUCUUGGGGAGCGAAUCUCUUCUGAUGACAUCUCGCGUACGAUUUCCUUCUGCGUUUGGAUAAUGAAACAUCAGCAUAAGAAAUUGAAUUUUUCAGUUUAGUAUAACUUCCAGUUCGAAUCGCUUGAUAGGCUGCUCUGUUACUGAUUAUUUUAGAAGCAAAAUGAAAUGGUAAAGUCUGUUUCUCCAGUUUUCUUCUGGUUAUUCAAACUUAAGUUUUUGUCAGCUUCUUCGAAAUUUUAAGAAGCACUAAGAUUUGAAAUUCUCUCAUUCAUAAUGUUAUUGUAUUUCUUUGGUUUACUGUCGUUUCUAUUCCUCCUUAACUAAAUCUUUGGAAUUUUACCAAUUAAAACGGAUCUCUUCAGAUACGAUUCUAAGAAACACUUUUCCACAUAAAACAAAUUGUAGCGAAUAUUUCUAGUUUAGA
Molecule: long non-coding RNA, 2281 nt
Organism: Argiope bruennichi
Lineage: Eukaryota; Metazoa; Arthropoda; Arachnida; Araneae; Araneidae
Exons: 3
Source: RefSeq, a predicted model, not a curated record